Molecule: ribosomal RNA, 507 nt
Filed under: uncultured bacterium
Lineage: Bacteria
Description: bacterial SSU rRNA
Rfam family: Bacterial small subunit ribosomal RNA
Source: RNAcentral
UUGGCUCAGGAUGAACGCUAGCGGCAGGCUUAACACAUGCAAGUCGAGGGGCAUCGGGAGUAGCAAUACUUGCCGGCGACCGGCGCAAGGGUGCGUAACGCGUGAGCAACAUGCCCGUAUCAGGGGGAUAAUCCAUGGAAACGUGGUCUAAUACCCCAUAGUAAUUAUGUAAGGCAUCUUAUAUAAUUUUAAAGCUUUGGUGGAUACGGAUUGGCUCGCGUGACAUUAGCUGGAUGGUAAGGUAACGGCUUACCAUGGCUACGAUGUCUAGGGGUUCUGAGAGGAAGGUCCCCCACACUGGAACUGAGACACGGUCCAGACUCCUACGGGAGGCAGCAGUGAGGAAUAUUGGACAAUGGAUGGAAAUCUGAUCCAGCCAUGCCGCGUGCAGGAAGAACCGGCCCUAUGGGUUGUAAACUGCUUUUGUAUGGGAGCAAUAAGGGCUACGUGUAGUCCGAUGAGAGUACCAUACGAAUAAGCACCGGCUAACUCCGUGCCAGCAGCUGC